AUAGUAAUUGAUUUUGUUACUGUAGUUAAAGUUAUUUUUUGUUAAACAUGUAAAUAUUUGUGUGUUAUUAAGUUUUAUUAAAUAUAUAUUUAAUAGUUUUCAGUUUUUAAUAUUAUUUAUUUAUUAAUAUAAAUUAUAGCUAAUUUUAUAGUAUUAUCAAAUUUUAGUGCCAGCAGUUGCGGUUACACUAAUAAUACAACUUUAACUAUUUCGGCUAGGUAUUAAUUUUAAUUUUUUUAUUUUAAAUUAAUAUUAUUAAGUGAAAUUUUAUUAUUAUAAUAAAAUAUAGGUUUAUUAAAUAUUAAAUAUAUAAAGAGACUAGGAUUAGAUACCCUAUUAUUUGUAUUAAAUAUAUAGCCUUAUAAUUAUAAGUUAAAUCUUUAAAAUAAAAAAAUUUGGCGGUAAUUGUUAAUUGUUUAGAGGAACCUGUUUAUUAAUCGAUAAACCACGAUUAAUUUUACUUUAAUUAAUUUUUAUAUAUCGUUAUCAUUGAAUAAUCAAUGAGGAUAAUUUCUUAAAUUAUUUUUUACAAAAUGUUAGAUCAAGAUGUAGAAUAUUAAAGAAUAUAAUGGGUUACAUUAAAUUUCAUUUUGGAUAUAAAUACUUGACUGUUUAUUAAAAUUGGAUUUAAUUGUAAUAUUAUAUAUAUAUAUAAUAUGAAAUUAUUAUAAUUAUGCACAUAUCGCCCGUCAUUCUCAUACAUUGGGACAAGUCGUAACAAAGUAGGGUUACUGGAAAGUGAUCCUGGUAAGAU
RNAcentral lists this non-coding RNA (754 nucleotides) under Corythucha marmorata. Lineage: Eukaryota; Metazoa; Arthropoda; Insecta; Hemiptera; Tingidae. The record is from RNAcentral.